Molecule: ribosomal RNA, 613 nt
Filed under: Sagenomella diversispora
Lineage: Eukaryota; Fungi; Ascomycota; Eurotiomycetes; Eurotiales; Trichocomaceae
Description: eukaryotic LSU rRNA
Rfam family: 5.8S ribosomal RNA (bases 242-395)
Source: RNAcentral
GGAAGUAAAAGUCGUAACAAGGUUUCCGUAGGUGAACCUGCGGAAGGAUCAUUACCGAGUGAGGGUCCCUUGCGGGCCCAACCUCCCACCCGUGUUUAACUAUACCGUGUUGCUUCGGCGGGCCCACUGGGGCCUGUUCCCGGUCGCCUGGGGGGGUGAAACCCCCCGGGUCCGUGCCCGCCGGAGACCCCUUGAACCCUGAGUGAAUCGAGUGUCGUCUGAGUUUGAAUUAAAUCAUUAAAACUUUCAACAACGGAUCUCUUGGUUCCGGCAUCGAUGAAGAACGCAGCGAAAUGCGAUAAGUAAUGUGAAUUGCAGAAUUCCGUGAAUCAUCGAAUCUUUGAACGCACAUUGCGCCCCCUGGCAUUCCGGGGGGCAUGCCUGUCCGAGCGUCAUUGCUACCCUCAAGCGCGGCUUGUGUGUUGGGCGCUGUCCCCCCGGGGACAGGCCUGAAAGGCAGUGGCGGCGUCGCGUCCGGUCCUCGAGCGUAUGGGGCUUUGUCACUCGCUCUGUGGGGUCCGGCCGGGGCCUGUCUACCCCAAUCUUUUCUCAAGGUUGACCUCGGAUCAGGUAGGGAUACCCGCUGAACUUAAGCAUAUCAAUAAGCGGAGGA